Molecule: long non-coding RNA, 5293 nt
Filed under: Sus scrofa (pig)
Lineage: Eukaryota; Metazoa; Chordata; Mammalia; Artiodactyla; Suidae
Description: lncRNA (ENSSSCG00040042369.1)
Source: RNAcentral
UUUUUUUUUUUUUUUUUUUUUUGGCAUUCUUGCUUAGCUGAAUCCUGACACAGGUCUUGAUGGCAGAAUCUGGCUAUUUGGCUUCAACCCCUACCUGUUGAGCACAAUUCCCUUUGCAUGUGAAGCGCCUCCAAAAGGGCUGGCCUUCAGGGCUGUGCCCGAGUGGGUUUUCUUGUACUGUGUAUCGUGUCACUUCUGAUCCCAUCAGUGGUUACGGAGCUUCCUGGGAAUACAAAGUCCAAGGCACUUGCCCAUCCUGCCAGCACCACAGGCCUGAGCAAAAAGGGCAAGGUGGUUUUGAGGGAGCUGCCAGAAGACCGAGAGGGUCACAACACCUUCACUCAAGGGCAGAACAGCCACCUCCAGCUGGCAGCUCCCUUGCGUCACUCUGUCGCUAAGUGGGAAUGGAUGCUCCCUCCUGGGCUGGAAUCCCAUUAUCCAUCCCAGGCCCUCGGCCUUCUGGAGGGCAGGAAGGGACAUCAGGUCAGGGUGUGGCUCAAAAGUCCUUGUUGUUGGCUUAAAGAUCCUCUCAAGACUUCCCAGGUGUAGAAAAAACAAGGUUUAAAGGGACCUGCACAUCAGAGCAAGUGGCCCUUAGAACCUGAAGGGGAAGGCAGUUCAACAUCCCUAAAUGGAAGCUUUGUUAUUAAGAGUCCUUAUCUGGUAAGGCUCUGAGGUAAAAUCAGUGAGUCCUGACUUGCUGUUUUUGUUUUAAUGUUGUACUUUGGAGAGGUCUUGUUUUGACCUGGUGAGGAUAAGAGUGGGUGGGAGGGAUGGACCUCAGGCGAAGGGAGGGUUUUUAUUUACUUUCUGAUAAUCAUACUGCCUGCCUCUCUUGGAAAAUCCUUCCUUGUCGUGUCAAGUAGUACAAAAUAAAACCAAAUGUUCUUUGUGUAUUUACAUUGGGGCCUUAGUUAUAGAAAAAUAUGGAUAGGAAAAACAUUAGUAGAAAAUAUAAUUAAAUGGUUUCUUUAUGUUGGGGUUGUGAAUGUUUUUUUUUUCUUUUUUCCAAAUUUUAUGUAACGAAUAAAACAUUUAUAAUGAAACUGAAAAGUUGGGGGGGAACUUAGCCUUGUUUUGUAAUUUAUGUCACACAUUUUGUCUGAAAAUUUCAUCAAAUGCAACAGUCUUCAAAUUUGGGGGUAUGUGUCACCUGGGGAGAUUUUGUAUUUUUCAGAGACUGUGAAAGUCCUAGUAACUCCUCAAGGGAUACACAGAAUAAUAAAUCUUUGAGUUCUGCAGGAACUAAGGCUCCCACCCAGGUGGAGGACUGAAUGGAGGUGUUGACUUGACUCUCCUGACUUCGGUCAACUAAGGCUUGGACUCUGUGACCUUUGCCUCAAUUCUAUGCUAAAUUCUCUGCUCUAGCCCCUUCAUAAAUAUGCAUGUACCCUUAGCUUCAAAAUUCCCUAACUUUGCUAUUCAGGGAGACACUGCUUUAGGAAAGAUUCCCAGUGUUCUCCUUACUUACUGUAAGUAAUAAUAAACCCCUCCUUCUCCUAAUCUUUGGCUUGGUUGUCUUUUGGCUCAACACCCACCAAGAGUCAAAGCCAGUUUUCAGGUAACAAACUGAUGGUUUCUACAGACUUCCUCAUUAAUCUGGCUAUGACCCUCCUGUGAGGUCCAGGAUAGCAGGACUCUGGCUGGAAUCAGAAGCCGAAAGGAGAAGUUCCCAUUGUGGCUCAGUGGUUAACAAAUCCGACUAGGAACCAUGAGGUUGCAGGUUUGAUCCCUGGCUUUGCCCAGUGGGUUAAGGAUCCAAUGUUGCCGUGAGCUGUGGUGUAGGUUGCAGACGUGGCUGUGGCAUAGGCCGGCAGUUAUAGCUCCCAUAGACCCCUAGCCUGGGAACCUCCAUAUGCCACAAGUGUGGAUCUAAAAAGCCAAAAAAAAAAAGCUGAAAGGAGUAUCCACAGCUGCCCAUUACUGUGAAUGGUGGGUAACAAACAGAGUGUGGGUCUCCUGGCUAGGUCUCUGGGUACCUCCAUUUGAUCAAAUUCCCCAUAGGGGCUUCCAUGUCACUUAUUACCUUACUGGGUACUGGAAAAUAGUCAAAGUUAAUUCUCAAAGAAAUAUUCAUUUAAAUUCAUUUAAAAACAAAAACAAAAAACAGGCACAUGAAUUUCACAGACUCCAGGAAAUGGGAGAGAGUUUGUAAAACAAAAUAUAUAUCAGAUACAUACAAGUAUUUACUGCCUCAAAUGAAUGAUAUCAAUCAAGAGCCAACUGUGACAAAUUUUAAGCUAAAUAUUCAAGGAGGCAUCUGUCUUUCUAGCUAAUGUGUGUGUUGUGUGGAUGGGUGGUAGCAGCAGUGGUGAUGGUGGCCAACAUCUGAAACUAUAAUACGGGAAAUGACCCAGAUCCCUCAAGUCUUGGCUUGCAAUAAAGAUCAGAGACCUAGAUCAACAUAAUGGAGGUUUUGAUCCAAAAGUAAGAUCAAUACAUUGUCUCUCAAUUAUUAUCUCCAUAGGAAAUGAGAGUAUUUUCAGAUUCAGAGACUCAUAUAAAUGAAAAGUUCCUGAAUUUCAGGUGUACAGAUGGGCAAAUUCAUUUCCAGCUGAGUGGAGCAGGAGACACAGUCGAGGUGUCUCUCAGCCUCUGCCCCCCUUUCCUAGAGCUGUCUCUGCUCAGACCCACAGGCAGAGUCAUACUGCCUUCCUGGCUAGAGCUGAUGGGAUUAGCAGUGGGAUGAAGAGAGACCCAGUCUAGAGGGAUUUGAAUCAGGGCUCUGAGAUGCUCUUUGUCAUUCCCGCAGACCAGUGGACAGAGGACAUGGAAACUAGGGAGUGAGGGCAAGCAUGCUGGGUCAGAGGCAUGCAAAAAUGGUGAUGGCUGGUUCGCUGAGACCAGUGGAGCAGACAAUUUGAGAGAGAACUCGAGCGAGGGAAGCUAUCUGCUGGCUUCCUGGGCCAGUCCUUGGUGGGUCCCAGCCACGCUGGAGGCCCUUGUAUUCCAUUAGCCACCUCAAGAGCCUUGCAUAAAGGCCUUUUUGCUUAAACUAGUUUGAAGUGAUGUCUUUAUCUUGUGACCCAAAAAGCGCUGACUAGAAAAAAAUGGUAACCAAAGCAAAAUGAGCAACUUCACCAGGAACUAACAUUGAGAAAGAAAUGUAAAUGGAAACAGACAUUAAGAAUGCAUUAGCCAUUUUUCCCUGAUGAUGAAAAUUUUAGAGCAGUCAUUCUUAGCUUUUGGUGGGUGGUAGUGCUUAGAAUUCUUUAAGAAACUCAUGCAAGAAAAAAACCCACAAGUUGCAUAUAAUCCACAAAUCACAAGAUAAAUAUUUAGGUUAUUAGUGUUUUGAUUUGAGCCUUAAUAAAUGUGUAUAUAUGUGUGUUAUUUUCAUUAUACCUCCCAUUUAGAUUAUAGGCUUAUUUCAAAGGAUAAAAGUUUUGUUUCUCUGUAAAUUUACCUUAGUAAAAUUCUUCUUUUUUUUUUUUUUUUUUUUUUUUUUUUUUUUUGGUCUUUUUGGGACUGCACUCCCAGCACAUGGAAGUUCCCAGGCUAGGGGUCAAAUCAGAGCUACAGCUGCUGGCCACAGCCACAGCCACAGCUACGCCACAAUACCAAAUUCUUGUUGUUUCAUAUCAACCAUGUCCUCCCUGUGCUCUAUGGAGCUAGAGAAUGGACCACCAUCUAUCUAUUACACAAAGUAGAAACCCCUAGGCCAUACUUGGCAUUUUAUCUCUCCCUUUCCCCCCAGUACUUAGUCCAUCCCUGAAGCUUACCGAUUUUAUCUUGUAAAUCUCUCUUUAGUUUUUCCACUUGUCCAUACCUUUAUUGCUACAUCCCAGGCCACUGGCCCCUCUUCUUAACAAAGCUUCUUCUCUGACCUCUUUAUUCACUCUUGCUCCUCUUCAAUGCACUGCCCAAGCAGCAGCUGGCAGCACUGGGUUGCCCAACAGACAGACCAGGCUCAUGCUACUACAUCUGUGAAGCAGGGCACAAAAAACCUGAAAAAUUCCUUGGAAAAUUUUUAUAUUUUGUGUCAGUUAGGAUACAAAAUUUCUGCAAGUAAUAGUAACCCCAGCUAAGACAGGGAGAAAACAUAUCAUCUCCCAUAACAAAUUCAAGAUUAGGUAGGCUCUAAGGUUAGGCUCAGCCAUGUCUUGAAGUGCCUAUAUUUGUCCUGUCUUUCCACUGUUGUCUCCCCUCAUGGUGGUAAGGUGGAUGCAGAAAGCAAAUAGGCAGCAUAUUCCCUUAUUCACAUCCUGUGGGAGAAGGAAAAUCUCCCCGACUCUUAAGUUUUUCCUUUAGCUUGAAUAAAGCAAAUUUAAGUUACAUGUGCCCUUGUGGGUCUGGGAAAGACCAAAUAGUCACUGGCAUGGACUGACUGAGGUUUACCUGUAGAUUUGAUGGACAGUUGAACAAAAUUUGAGGAUCUGCUGAGAACGAGGAAGAGGGUGGUGGAUGCUACCCCUGAUCUAAUAUGGCUCUUCUUUUAUGCAAAGCUUGAAAUAUAUGGAAGGGGCCCUUGUCUACUGGAGAAAGAGGAAGGAAAUUUAAGUAAAAUGUCAUGUAAAGCAUGAGUUUUCCUUCUUAUUUCAAUAUUCAGAAUUCAAAUGCAUUGAUUUUCUGUCAUCUGGCACAAGCAAAAUCUAAUAAUUGAUCUAUAAUUCAGUAAAGAAAUUUCCAAUUUUUCUUUUUGCAUUAUGAUAAAGUUAAAAUAUAAAGGCUAGCAUAUGGGACCAGGUGUGGGUCAUUCUUUUUCCAAUUAAAAAAAUAUAUUGACUGAGAAAUGGAAUACUUUAAUAAAAAUAGUGAUUUUUAUGGUAAUAAUGAAAAUAAUUCUAUUUAUCAAAAAAUGCAUAUUGACCAUGAUGGCAGAAGAGGUUGCCUGACUACAGGGGUAAAUACAAAGUCACAGUCUUCCCUUUGGGGCUGUAAGGAUUAAGUAACUUAUACAUCUAUAGUUAUGCCAGCCUUCAGUAAAAAGGAAACAUAUUUUAGGCACAGUUAUGAGAUAAGUUGAAAGACAUGAAUCCAUUCUUUCAGAUAACAGGCUUAGGCACAUUAGAGGUAAUUAAGUUCUAAAAAACUGCUGUAUAAAAAAUCAAGCACAUCUAAACCAGGAAUAGGGGAUUCUGGAGUUCCCAUCGUGGCUCAGUAGUAACGAACCUGACUAGUACCCAUGAGGAUGUGGGUUUGAUCCCUGGCCUCGAGCAGUGGGUUAAGGAUCCAGAAUUGCUGUGAGUUGUGGUGUAGGUCACAGACAUGGAUCACAUCUGGCGUUGCUGUGUGCUGUGGCCAGCAGGUGUAGCUCUGAUUAACAUCAUAGCCUGGGAACUUCCAUGUGCUG